CCUACGGGUGGCAGCAGUGAGGAAUAUUGGUCAAUGGGCGCGAGCCUGAACCAGCCAAGUCGCGUGAGGGAAGACGGUCCUAUGGAUUGUAAACCUCUUUUGUCGGGGAGCAAAAGACGCCACGCGUGGCGUUCCGAGAGUACCCGAAGAAAAAGCAUCGGCUAACUCCGUGCCAGCAGCCGCGGUAAUACGGAGGAUGCGAGCGUUAUCCGGAUUUAUUGGGUGUAAAGGGAGCGUAGACGGCGCUGCAAGUCCGGAGUGAAAGCCCAUGGCUUAACCAUGGUACUGCUCUGGAAACUGUGGGGCUUGAGUGCGGGAGGGGCAGGCGGAAUUCCUAGUGUAGCGGUGAAAUGCGUAGAUAUUAGGAGGAACACCGGCGGCGAAGGCGGCCUGCUGGACCGUAACUGACGUUGAGGCUCGAAAGCGUGGGGAGCAAACAGGAUUAGAUACCCCAGUAGUC
RNAcentral lists this ribosomal RNA (460 nucleotides) under uncultured bacterium. RNAcentral describes it as "partial 16S ribosomal RNA". It matches the Rfam family "Bacterial small subunit ribosomal RNA", at positions 338 to 795 of the family's 1533-position model. The record is from RNAcentral.